UAAGCGGAGGAAAAGAAACUAACAAGGAUUCCCCUAGUAACGGCGAGUGAAGCGGGAAGAGCUCAAAUUUGAAAUCUGGUAGCCUUCGGUUGCCCGAGUUGUAAUCUAGAGAAAUGUUUUCCGUGCCGGCCCAUGUACAAGUCCCUUGGAACAGGGCGUCAUAGAGGGUGAGAAUCCCGUCCUUGACAUGGACCCCCGGUGCUUUGUGAUACAUUUUCAACGAGUCGAGUUGUUUGGGAAUGCAGCUCAAAAUGGGUGGUGAAUUCCAUCUAAAGCUAAAUAUUGGCGAGAGACCGAUAGCGAACAAGUACCGUGAGGGAAAGAUGAAAAGCACUUUGGAAAGAGAGUUAAACAGUACGUGAAAUUGUUGAAAGGGAAACGAUUGAAGUCAGUCAUGCUCUUUGGUAUUUAUAUCAUUGAGUGGGGUCAACAUCAGUUUUGAUCGAUGGAUAAAGGCACUAGGAAGGUAGCACUCUCGGGUGAACUUAUAGCCUAGCGUCAUAUACAUUGAUUGGGACUGAGGAACGCAGCAUGCCUUUAUGGGCCGGGGAUUCGUCCACGUACAUGCUUAGGAUGUUGACAUAAUGGCUUUAAACGACCCGUCUUGAAACAC
Molecule: ribosomal RNA, 613 nt
Filed under: Naganishia albidosimilis
Lineage: Eukaryota; Fungi; Basidiomycota; Tremellomycetes; Filobasidiales; Filobasidiaceae
Description: eukaryotic LSU rRNA
Rfam family: Eukaryotic large subunit ribosomal RNA
Source: RNAcentral